GACGAACGCUGGCGGCGUGCUUAACACAUGCAAGUCGAACGGUAAGGCCCUUCGGGGUACACGAGUGGCGAACGGGUGAGUAACACGUGGGUGAUCUGCCCUGCACUUCGGGAUAAGCGUGGGAAACUGGGUCUAAUACCGGAUAGGACCACUGCCUGCAUGGGGGGUGGUGGAAAGCUUUUGCGGUUUUGGAUGGGCCCUCGGCCUAUCAGCUUGGUAGUGGGGUGAUGGCCUACCAAGGCGACGACGGGUAGCCGGCCUGAGAGGGUGACCGGCCACACUGGGACUGAGAUACGGCCCAGACUCCUACGGGAGGCAGCAGUGGGGAAUAUUGCACAAUGGGCGCAAGCCUGAUGCAGCGACGCCGCGUGAGGGAUGACGGCCUUCGGGUUGUAAACCUCUUUCAGCACCGACGAAGCGCAAGUGACGGUAGGUGCAGAAGAAGGACCGGCCAACUACGUGCCAGCCGCCGCCGUAA
Molecule: ribosomal RNA, 478 nt
Filed under: uncultured bacterium
Lineage: Bacteria
Description: partial 16S ribosomal RNA
Rfam family: Bacterial small subunit ribosomal RNA
Source: RNAcentral